Molecule: long non-coding RNA, 305 nt
Filed under: Capsicum annuum
Lineage: Eukaryota; Viridiplantae; Streptophyta; Magnoliopsida; Solanales; Solanaceae
Description: long non-coding RNA (CANN_LNC007511)
Source: RNAcentral
ACCUCUCUCCGUCAUAACAUAGAAAAUGAAAAAUGUUUCAGAAAUUAACAUAUAAAUGUAUGUAUCACCACAGUAUUUUUGGGGGGCAACGUAGCAUAUAAAUAUAGAUCAGCAUUAGGUGAUUUCUUCCCAUAUGUUCUAGUUUUGAGGGACUGAGUUACUUGAUACAUGUUGCUAAUGGGAGGUGGCAGAUACCCGUGGCUACUCAAGCACCACGGUUAUAAAUGAAAGAUAUGUAAGAUUUGAAAUCUUGAAAAUAAGGUAGGCGAAAGAAAAAUCAGGACAAGCAGCUGACAUUAGGGGUG